CUACCGCGCGUCGAAAGGCGACGGGACGAGCGUGCAGAAGUCAGCCGAAGCCGUAGUAAGUGGCGGUUAACCGCGCCACCAAGGGC
RNAcentral lists this non-coding RNA (86 nucleotides) under Pseudomonas putida. The record is from RNAcentral. Lineage: Bacteria; Pseudomonadati; Pseudomonadota; Gammaproteobacteria; Pseudomonadales; Pseudomonadaceae.